This 949-nucleotide ribosomal RNA is filed under the name human gut metagenome. RNAcentral's name for it is "bacterial SSU rRNA". It matches the Rfam family "Bacterial small subunit ribosomal RNA", at positions 8 to 937 of the family's 1533-position model. The record is from RNAcentral.
AGAGUUUGAUCCUGGCUCAGGAUAAACGCUGGCGGCGCACAUAAGACAUGCAAGUCGAACGGAAGUCGUUACGAAAUGGAAUGAAGAUUUAUCUGAUUGAAGUUUUGUAACAAUGGCUUUAGUGGCGGACUGGUGAGUAACACGUAAGCAAUCUACCUAUUAGAGGGGAAUAACAAUGAGAAAUCAUUGCUAAUACCGCAUAAGCUUGUAGUACCGCAUGGUACAGCAAGAAAAGGAGCAAUCCGCUAAUAGAUGAGCUUGCGGCUGAUUAGCUAGUUGGUGUGGUAACGGCAUACCAAGGCAACGAUCAGUAGCCGGGCUGAGAGGCUCUUCGGCCACAUUGGGACUGAGAUACGGCCCAGACUCCUACGGGAGGCAGCAGUCGGGAAUUUUGCGCAAUGGAGGAAACUCUGACGCAGUGACGCCGCGUAUAGGAAGAAGGUUUUCGGAUUGUAAACUAUUUUAGUCAGGGAAGAAAAAUGACAGUACCUGAAGAAUAAGCUCCGGCUAACUACGUGCCAGCAGCCGCGGUAAUACGUAGGGAGCAAGCGUUAUCCGGAUUUAUUGGGUGUAAAGGGUGCGUAGACGGGAAGACAAGUUGGUUGUGAAAGCCCUCGGCUCAACUGAGGAACUGCAACCAAAACUAUCAUUCUUGAGUGCGGGAGAGGAAAGUGGAAUUCCUAGUGUAGCGGUGAAAUGCGUAGAUAUUAGGAGGAACACCAGUGGCGAAGGCGACUUUCUGGACCGUAACUGACGUUGAGGCACGAAAGUGUGGGGAGCAAACAGGAUUAGAUACCCUGGUAGUCCACACCGUAAACGAUGGAUACUAGGUGUAGGGAACGAUAUGUUUUCUGUGCCGAAAGCAAACGCAAUAAGUAUCCCACCUGGGGAGUACGGCCGCAAGGUUGAAACUCAAAGGAAUUGACGGGGGCCCGCACAAGCAGUGGAG